This 739-nucleotide long non-coding RNA is filed under the name Homo sapiens (human). Its description in RNAcentral is "HSALNT0066363". Lineage: Eukaryota; Metazoa; Chordata; Mammalia; Primates; Hominidae. The record is from RNAcentral.
UUGAGCUGAGCUUUCGCUCGCUGUCCACCACUGCUGUUUUGCCACCAUGGCAGACCCACCACUGACCUCCAUCCCUCCGCAUCCAGCAGGGUGUCCGCUGUGCUCCUGAUCCAGUGAGGCGCCCGUUGCCACUCCCGAUUGGGCUAAGGGCUUGCCAAUGUUCCUGCAUGGCUAAGUGCCUGGGUUCGUCCUAAUCGAGCUGAACACUAGUCACUGGGUUCCAUGGUUCUCUUCCAUGACCCACAACUUCUAAUAGAGCUAUAACAAGCACUGCAUGGCCCAAGAUUCCAUUCCUUGGAAUCCGUGAGGCCAAGAACCCCAGGUCAGAGAACACGAGGCUUGCCACCAUCUUGGAAGUGGCCCACCGCCAUUUUGGAAGUGGCCAACCACCAUCUUGGGAGCUCUGGGAGCAAGGACCCCUGGUAACAUUUUGGCGACCACGAAGGGACAUCCCAAGUGAUAAGCUGAGACCAUCCUUGAAAUAGACUCACUUUGGUGUAAUCAAAGUCCACCUAUAUAUAUGAUUUUCAGCAGCCCCCUCAAGCAAUGGCGUGGCUCUCAUGAUGACCUUAGUGUUCUCAUAAUUAGAGAUACUGAAGACCUUACCUUCUCUGCCAUGUGAGGAUACAGGAUGAAGGUGUCACCUGCAAGCCAGGAAGAAAGUCCUCAUGAAGACCUGACCAUAUGGCAUCCUGAUGUUGGGCUUCUGGCCUCCAAAAUCAUGAUAAAUAAAUUUCUG